RNAcentral lists this long non-coding RNA (2517 nucleotides) under Manihot esculenta (cassava). RNAcentral's name for it is "long non-coding RNA (MESC_LNC009435)". Lineage: Eukaryota; Viridiplantae; Streptophyta; Magnoliopsida; Malpighiales; Euphorbiaceae. The record is from RNAcentral.
UUUCCUAUUUCGUCUAGGUAUUUCUACAUUUAAUGCUACUGCCUUAGUUGUAACAGCUAAGGGUAUUUCUCAGUUUUCUUUGUAAAGCUCAAAUAUAAGUAUUAAAUAACAUCAUUCUCUAUUGUGAAACCAUUACCAGCCUCAAUCUCUAUAAAAUCACUCUUUAAAUUCAACAACUCAUAUAUGUCAGUCAACAGUCUGAUGUAGGAAUACCUAUCAGCAAGCAAAUUGUUCAUUCUCUCCUCAUGCCCUUCAUAUUUAAUUAACAAAUUGUACCUCUUAAAUUUAUCCAUUGCUAUCUGUAAAAAUAAAAAGAAAAUUACAAAAUUAAUUUUCAAAUCAUUAAACCCUUAAUCUUAAUAGUAAACCCUAGAAAACCAAUAAAUAAAAAAUUAUUUAUUGUAACUAAAAAAAAUCUAAACAGUAAAGCAACAAAUUUAUUUUCAUCGUAAAACAAAAGGGAUUUUCGUACCUUCAAAGUGGACUUCGAUUUCGUUUUCUUCUACGUAUAUGAACACUAACUCCACCUUCAAAAUGUGGUGGGUUCAGUGUUUCUUGAGAAGAUUAAGGAAACGAGAGACAAUAGGACGACAAAGAGAGAGAAGUUCUGAUAGAGAGAGAGACAGAGAGAGCGAGAGAGACAAGGCUUCGACAGAGAUAGGGAAACCGCGAGAGACAAGGCUUCGACAAAGACAGGGAGAGCGCAAGAGAGCAGGACAAGUUUUGAUAAAGACAAAAGGGUUUAGUUUUGAUAUAGAGAGAGAGAGACAAAGAGAGCGCAAGAGAAAAUAGUAAAGCUGAGAGAGAGAAGUUUAAACAAAGACAGAGAGAGCGAAAGAGAGAGGGAGAAGAAAGAGGGAUAGGAUUUUGUGAUUUUGAAAUAGAGACACUUUUAGUGACGAUUAAUUUUUUCAAUUCACGUGUUAUAAACAACUAUUUUAGAUGGAAUGACUACAAAUUUAGAUGGAAUGACUACAAAUUUAGAUGAAAGAGAAAGUGAAGAAUUUAAGUGCUAAUUCAUCAAAUAGAGAGAUAAAAGUGUUAAUUACGUUAAAUUUUAGAGAUUAAAAAGUAAUUUUUUCUUUUAAAAUUAAUAAUGAAUUAAGUAGAGUCAACGAUACAAAAUCGUAGAAUACUCUCGUAUCUCUUAACUUUUUUUUUCAAUCAAUCUCUAGAACAUGUUUGUAAUUUUUGUUUCUUUUGAGGAGGAGGCCGACUGUCCAGACACGCCCUUUCCCUCUUUUUCAUCUAGAUUUUGUUUUGUUUAAAUUCUUUAUUUCUUGAAAAAUUACCUUUUAAGAAGUAAUUUAUUUAUUUUUAAUUUUUUUUUUCGCUUCAAAUAAGUAGGUUUUUUUAAAUUUUUAAAAAGUUAAAAAAAUAUGCCAACCAAAUAAACUGAAUGUAUCAAUUUUUUAAAAACUUGAAAUUUCUUAGUUAAUUUAACCUCAACUAAACAAGACCCUUAUUUUAAGUCUCCUUUAAUUCUGUUGUUUUUCUUUGUCCUAGUCUCCUUAUGUGGAGUUUUUUCAGUCCUCACCAAGUUGGGGUUUUAGUUUUACUCUAGAUCUUUUUGGUUUUAGAGUAGGAGAGCUUGCAUACAAGAGAUCUCUCUCCUUCUGGUGAUGGCUUUCAAGUCUUGAUGGUGAUCUUGUCUAAUGGCCGGAAAAGGGCUUUGAUUGUCUUCUUUGCACCAGAUUUGAACCCGUCGUUGCCGACACAGGCUCCAUCUCAGUUGUUAAUGGUGACUAGCUGAUACUAUUUCCCUUCCCUCCUGGUGGAAGGCUCUGAAAUUGGAGUUGAGAGCUUUUCGCCCUCUAUGUACAGCCUUGGCAAAGAUGUAAGCGAUGAUUGGGUGUGAGAGUUGGAGACCCUGCUGGAUUUCAUUGGUUUAUGGUUGGUUGCAGGGCUGUUUCUCACAGGGUCCAUUUCGCUUGGUCUGGAAACCUUAGAGGACGUUGCGAUGCCACCCUUGGUCGGAUUUUCGGCCCUUCAUUGCCUAUAUGAGAUUGAGACAGCUUGAGGUCUUCCCAACCACCCGUCGAGUUGCUCUACUCCUCCUUCCUCUUCCAGUGUGCUUUCAUUGCAUCCCUAGUUGGCUUUAUUGCUUUUCGUUGUUGUCUCUGUCCCGGAUGUUCUUAUUUUCAGUGGCUUUGGGUGGAAGUGAUCGUGCGGCACUCUUAGGGUUGGGUAGUGGUUUUCAGGCUCGGAUUCCCAUCUGUUUCAGGUUGGAGGUUCCUAUUAGCUAUAGGGUUGUAUUUCUGGUUAAGGUGCUUUUGUUUCUGGGCUGGAUUGUUUGUUUUACGGGUUUUUGGUGGUUUCAUUUUGGCCUUUGUCCCAGAGGCCUGUGGGCUUGUUGUAUGGACUUGCCCUAUGUUUGUUAAUGAAAUUUGUCUUCUAUUUGCCAGGAAAAACAAAAAAGCAAGAAAAAAAAAACGAAUACUCUACUCCUCCGUAAGUAACUUAUAAUAUUACUUCCCGUCUCAUAAUUUUUAUUUAUUUAUUUUUAUUAUUUUAAAA